This 253-nucleotide ribosomal RNA is filed under the name uncultured bacterium. RNAcentral describes it as "partial 16S ribosomal RNA". It matches the Rfam family "Bacterial small subunit ribosomal RNA", at positions 524 to 776 of the family's 1533-position model. The record is from RNAcentral.
UACGGAGGGUGCAAGCGUUAUCCGGAUUCACUGGGUUUAAAGGGUGCGUAGGCGGGCAGGUAAGUCAGUGGUGAAAUCCCCGAGCUCAACUUGUGAAUUGCCGUUGAUACUAUCUGUCUUGAAUAUCGUGGAGGUGAGCGGAAUAUGUCAUGUAGCGGUGAAAUGCUUAGAUAUGACAUAGAACACCCAUUGCGAAGGCAGCUCACUACACGAUAAUUGACGCUGAGGCGCGAAAGCGUGGGGAUCAAACAGG